This 207-nucleotide ribosomal RNA is filed under the name uncultured bacterium. Its description in RNAcentral is "partial 16S ribosomal RNA". It matches the Rfam family "Bacterial small subunit ribosomal RNA", at positions 568 to 774 of the family's 1533-position model. The record is from RNAcentral.
CGUGUAGGCGGUCCGUUAAGUCUGAUGUGAAAGCCCGGGGCUCACCCCCGGAAGGGCAUUGGAAACUGGCGGACUCGAGUCCCGGAGAGGAGGGUGGAAUUCCUGGUGUAGCGGUGAAAUGCGUAGAUAUCAGGAGGAACAUCGGAGGCGAAGGCGGCCCUCUGGACGGUGACUGACGCUGAGACGCGAAAGCGUGGGGAGCAAACA